CUCCAGAAUACCCUGGUAACAUACAUACUACCAUGGCUGUCUGGUGGGUAAUUCUACCCUCUGCCCCAAGUCCCAUGUCCCACUCCAGACCACAAGCAGGUUCCCCAGUCUUUCUACCCGAUUCACCAAUGGAAGGGAUGGUGGAACUGUGUUCUAACAAUGGUCAACAACUCAGAUUUUCCUAAACGUUGCAUAUACAUGCAUAACUAUUUGUUCAUACUGUUCCCUCUGCCUAGCAUGGAAUUCCCUCUUCUCUCUCAGCAGAGAAACUUAAUACUCCCAAUUCAAAACGCAGAUGGCACCACGCGAGGUCAGAGAAAGAGGCAAGAAGUUUUAGUCAACCUGUCUUUGAUUAUUGGCUUGCCAUAUGCAGUCUACGUGUACUUGAUCAUCGCUUAACUUUUUAGCCUGUUUCUCAUGUAUGAAACGAGAAUAAUGAUAUCCAGCUCAUGGGUUGUUUAAAGGAAUACAUGACAUGAUAAGGUGAAGAGGAACAGAUGCUGCCAUGAAAGGGGUUUCCUAGAAAGUGGUGAAGAGACCAUAGCCUAAUGCAAGUAGAGAAUUGGGACCAGGAAAAAUAAAGCCAUGAAAUAAUGAGUCUGCUGUAUUAGAGGUAAUUUUUUGCUGCUUCCAAGAUUUAACAUAUGGAGUAAAAUCCUAAAUGCUGAAUGAAAGAAUCCAAAAGUUGAACAUAACAUAAGGUACCCUAGGAUCCCUCAAAAAAUAAAAUAAAUACCAUUGGUUUAGAGAGAGGUAUUCUAUGGAUUGACGUUUCCUGGGAAUUUGGGGGUUUGAGGAAAAAAAUAUACUAUACUUGAUGUUUAGUAUUUGGUUGUAUUACACUAUAUGUUUAAAUACAUAAACAUUUUAACAUAAGUUCGUUGUCUGAGAACUUGCUGUAUUUUCACAUAUCAUCAAUACUUCUAGGAAAGAGUUUCCAGAACAUUAUGAAACUUUAAUCAGUGGGUAUCUAUAAAUUUUAUUGGAUUAUGGUGCCAUAUAAACAGGUAAGAAGCCAUUUUUUCCCCUAAAACAUUCUCCACACAAAAUGGUCUUAUAAAUAACUGUGAACUUUGUAUUUUCUCCUUGGCCCUACAACUCCACCACCACCAGAGCAGAUAAACAGUUCUUAGGAUUCCAUGCCUCAAAAAUGUACUUUCAGGCUAAUCCGUUGUUGGCCAAGAAAAAGCUAUAUGGCCAUAAUUACAGGCAAUUUGCAGCAAGAGAGACUUGAAUUUAAAGUACCUCAUCACUUCGCCCACCACACUGGGCCCUGAAAAAACUUAAGAACAGGUCACUGAGCCCUUUUCAAGUCAGGAAAUUAUCUAGUGGACUAGUACCUCAUCGUCCUCUUUCAAAUAUCUCCAACCUAUUUUUCAUUGCUUAUAUUUAGGCUCUUUCUUUAUAGAUCUCAUGUUGCAUCCUGACUGUUUUCCUGAUAGAGCUAGGAGAGAGAGACAGCAGGUUCCAUUUAUGCUUUCUGGACUCCGGGGAUCCUAGAAGCCAGCUAAAGCACAUAGUUGUAAGAAGAGCUACUUGCUGUAGAACAGAAGAGCCAAUCUUUCCUUGUGUAUUCUGCCAGAACAAAUUCUAGCUUUCCACUGGCUGGCCCCAUUCCACCUCACUCCCUUGCCAGGUAAAUCUUUUGAGUCACCAAGCACAGCCAGGCUCACCCUGUUAGAUAUGUUUACCCCCAGAUUAAAACCUAAUGCUUCUCACCUCACCCACUCCACCUGGCUUCUCAUUCUGAAAGUUGUACUUUAUUUAUUAAGGGCCUAAUUGUUCUUUUUUUGUGCCUUACCUCCACUUCCUAAUUUGAAUUAUUCAGUUUCUUUUGUUUUUUCUUAUCAAACAUUUGAUACACAGAAUGUAAUUAUUCAUAAUUCUUGUUUACUACCACAGUCUCAUCAUUUGUACACACAGGGCUUCCUUCCUUCUCUCCUUCCAACCUUCUUUAUUUUUUAUUUUUUUACAAAUCGGGUCUUGCUGUCACCCAGGCUGGAGUGCAUAAUUGUAGCUCACUGCAGCCUUGAAAUUCUUGGUUCCAACAAU
Molecule: long non-coding RNA, 2052 nt
Filed under: Homo sapiens (human)
Lineage: Eukaryota; Metazoa; Chordata; Mammalia; Primates; Hominidae
Description: HSALNT0091969
Source: RNAcentral